RNAcentral lists this ribosomal RNA (252 nucleotides) under Clostridium intestinale DSM 6191. RNAcentral describes it as "23S rRNA. Bacterial LSU". It matches the Rfam family "Bacterial large subunit ribosomal RNA", at positions 2673 to 2925 of the family's 2925-position model. The record is from RNAcentral. Lineage: Bacteria; Bacillati; Bacillota; Clostridia; Eubacteriales; Clostridiaceae.
UGUCCUUAGUACGAGAGGACCGGGAUGGACUGACCUCUGGUGUACCAGUUGUUCCGCCAGGAGCAUAGCUGGGUAGCUAAGUCGGGAAGGGAUAAACGCUGAAGGCAUCUAAGCGUGAAGCCCACCUCAAGAUAAGAUUUCCCAUAGAGUAAUCUAGUAAGAUCCCUUGAAGAACACAAGGUUGAUAGGUGAGAGGUGUAAGUGUGGUAACAUAUUUAGCUGACUCAUACUAAUAGAUCGAGGGCUUGACCA